GCUGGGUGUGGUGGCGCAUGCCUGUAAUUCCAGCUACUCGGGAGGCUGAGGUAGGAGAAUCGCUUGAACCCAGGAGGCAGAGGUUGCAGUGAGCCAAGAUCAUGCCACUGCACUCUCGCCUGUGCGACAAAGCGAGACUCUCUCUCUC
Molecule: non-coding RNA, 148 nt
Filed under: Nomascus leucogenys (northern white-cheeked gibbon)
Lineage: Eukaryota; Metazoa; Chordata; Mammalia; Primates; Hylobatidae
Source: Rfam by way of RNAcentral